Pieris napi is the source of this 2192-nucleotide long non-coding RNA. RefSeq lists it as uncharacterized. The transcript is spliced from 2 exons. The record is from RefSeq and is a predicted model, not a curated record. Lineage: Eukaryota; Metazoa; Arthropoda; Insecta; Lepidoptera; Pieridae.
AAGUGUUAGCUUUUAUUAUUUAUUUAAUAAUAUUCUAAAUAAUUUAUGAAACAUAUUCUUUUGCUACAAGUGCGCAUGUGCAAUAAUUACUCAUUUGACUCGUUCGGUUAUUUACGAAUUGUUACGAAUUGACUCGAAUAACUGCCCGAAGUGGGAAGGUCGAGUCAGAGUGGGGACUAAAGGAUAAAACAGCUGGUAGCACAUGCGCACAGGCAAUUCCUUUGUUCAAGUUGGUGUUUAUACAUUUUACGUAGGGUCAGUGUGUGAAAUAUAGUAAAUCAAGUCAUCAUUGGAGUGUUUAAUUUCCUACCCUAAGAACCAGAUCAACUAGCCCUAACAAAUCAGAAGAGCGGGAUGCCAUCGAGGUAAACUGAUAUGGUAUAUCAUAUCCUUGGUGUAAAGGAUUAACGCCCACGAGUCAUGGGUGUUGUAUUACACAGGGCCUCGCAUCAGGGUACUAUUAGAAAGCUGAUGGUAUUUCUGGUUUUAAGUGAGAGCAAGGGUAGCAAAGAUGAAAAAGAUGACCUGGUAAGAUGACUCUAUAGGACAACGACACAGUAAGACUGUAUAUUAUGAGGUAUUAAUAUUAUUAUAUUUUUUUUGCUGCUUAGAGAUUUAAAAUAUAUAAGAAGCAAGCAUUCGCAAGUUUAGGUUUUAAGGAGGAAUUAGUAAUCCUCCCGUAGUCAAUUUUACAUGCACCAUGUUAAAUGGGAGCAUUCAAAGUUGGCAUUGCUGAUAAAGAAGUUUGAUUUACUUCAAAUGAGUAAGACUCUGCUGAAUGUUAACAUACUGCAGAGCCUAGUCUUUCAUGACAUUUCUUUUGCGGUAAUUCACUUUGGGUAUAUUACAAAGGGUUGCUUUUUGAUACAGCAUCAAACAGACAUAAGUCUCAAUUUCAUUAACAAAUCUGAAAUUUCGAUGUCACGUCAUGUCGACAAUUUAACUUGCUUGCUAAGGCUGUUGUUCUUUUUGUGUACUGUGGCUAUGUGCUUAGAAAUUCAAAAUUACAUAUGACCUUUUAACAUAUUAUGUAUUCCCUACAAACCAAUCAAUACUUGGUUAGUUUUUUUUUUAUUUUAUUUUUGUUAUUGGUCUUAAUAAUGGAUAUGAAAUACUUUCAUUAUGUCUGAUGAUAAAAUAUCUUAAAACAGAAUUGAUUAAAUGUUGUAAUGAAAUUUAAUAAUGUAAGAAAAUUAUUGUAUCAUCUUGAUCGGUUACCAAUGAGGUUGUAUUUGACAAAGUAAUGUCAAAUUAUUUGAUAAAGUAAUUUCACAUUUAAUUCAUCUCCAGAAGUGAUAGUAUCCUAAUAAAAGUGAUGGCUUAAUAUAAUAAGUAAGUUUUGAGUGCGUUGAAAUAUGUUGAUGAAAAAUAAUACUCUAAAGAAGUAGGGUUGUAGUAGUAAUAGUUCAAGUAUUUGUUGUGCUUUCGAUAAGUAUUUUUUCUGAAGUCUGCACGAAAAUCUGCAGCGUUUUUGUCAAAGAAAAGAGGGAGAGAGCGAUUGAGACUUGAACACCGAUGGUGUUUUUAAUACAUAUCAAUAUCAUUAUUAUUUUAUUAUGGGAAAAAAUUACCAUUUUUUUUUUGUUGGUUUGGACCUUUUGCUAAGACCCAGUUGGCUAUUUUACAAAAUGUGGACAUUAGUUAGCAAUUAUGAUAGUAAUUUCUUAUAUUAUUGAACUAAUUUAACUAAUUUUAGCUCUGGUUUUUAAUUAGCCUUGGUAUCAUUUAAUAAUAUAGAAAGACUGGGAAAAUUAAAUUAUGGGAUUUGGUCAGCUUAAUUACUCAAUAAUUAAUCUACAAAGAAGUUUCACUUUUGACAUGUGUACCUUGUACUUACGCACUAUUUAUUCGUAUAAUUGACAUAGACUAGAAUAUUUAUUUAUUUAUUUAUUUAGUUAAUAAGCUUACGACAUCACACACAGUACUAAAUCUACUAAUUAUUUUACAAAAUCUUACAUCUUAAAUGUGUGACAAUUAAUGUAAACAUAAGUUUUACAAAAAAAAUAUAUAAAUUAUAAAGUACAAUUAAAACAUAUACGAAUAUCAAUUUCACAUGAUAAAUUCACUAUUGUGAAUAUAAAGAGAUCAUAAUGGACUUCGUUUGGUAAAACUUUAUUGUGAUCUUAAAAGAUCACAGUAGUUUCAGUUAUGUAGGACUUUAUUGUGAAUAUAAAGAUAUCUCAAAGGAUUUA